UAGCACAGAGAGCUUGCUCUCGGGUGACGAGCGGCGGACGGGUGAGUAAUGUCUGGGAAACUGCCUGAUGGAGGGGGAUAACUACUGGAAACGGUAGCUAAUACCGCAUAAUGUCGCAAGACCAAAGUGGGGGACCUUCGGGCCUCAUGCCAUCAGAUGUGCCCAGAUGGGAUUAGCUAGUAGGUGGGGUAACGGCUCACCUAGGCGACGAUCCCUAGCUGGUCUGAGAGGAUGACCAGCCACACUGGAACUGAGACACGGUCCAGACUCCUACGGGAGGCAGCAGUGGGGAAUAUUGCACAAUGGGCGCAAGCCUGAUGCAGCCAUGCCGCGUGUGUGAAGAAGGCCUUCGGGUUGUAAAGCACUUUCAGCGGGGAGGAAGGCGGUGAGGUUAAUAACCUUGUCGAUUGACGUUACCCGCAGAAGAAGCACCGGCUAACUCCGUGCCAGCAGCCGCGGUAAUACGGAGGGUGCAAGCGUUAAUCGGAAUUACUGGGCGUAAAGCGCACGCAGGCGGUCUGUCAAGUCGGAUGUGAAAUCCCCGGGCUCAACCUGGGAACUGCAUUCGAAACUGGCAGGCUAGAGUCUUGUAGA
RNAcentral lists this ribosomal RNA (594 nucleotides) under Klebsiella sp. RS4. Its description in RNAcentral is "bacterial SSU rRNA". It matches the Rfam family "Bacterial small subunit ribosomal RNA", at positions 68 to 655 of the family's 1533-position model. Lineage: Bacteria; Pseudomonadati; Pseudomonadota; Gammaproteobacteria; Enterobacterales; Enterobacteriaceae. The record is from RNAcentral.